GACGAACGCUGGCGGCAUGCCUAACACAUGCAAGUCGAACGAGACCUUCGGGUCUAGUUGCGCACGUCUGCGUACCGCGUGGUAACCUGCCCUUAGGUUCGGAAUAACUCCCCGAAAGGGGUGCUCAUACCGGAUACUGUCUUCGGACCAAAGAUUUCUCGCCUUUGGGUGGGCCCGCGUUGGAUUAGCUAGUUGGUAGGGUAAAAGCCUACCAAGGCGACGAUCCAUAGCUGGUCUGAGAGGAUGAUCAGCCACACUGGGACUGAGACACGGCCUAGACUCCUACGGAAGGCAGCAGUGGGGAACAUUGGACAAUGGGCGAAGGCCUGAUCAAGCAAUGCCGCGUAAGUGAUGAAGGCCUUAGGGUUGUAAAGCUCUUUUACCCGGGAUGAUAAUGACAGUACCGGGAGAAUAAGCACCGGCUAACUCCGUG
RNAcentral lists this ribosomal RNA (433 nucleotides) under uncultured bacterium. RNAcentral's name for it is "partial 16S ribosomal RNA". It matches the Rfam family "Bacterial small subunit ribosomal RNA", at positions 28 to 507 of the family's 1533-position model. The record is from RNAcentral.